GGAAUCUUCCGCAAUGGACGAAAGUCUGACGGAGCAACGCCGCGUGAGUGAUGAAGGUUUUCGGAUCGUAAAGCUCUGUUGUUAGGGAAGAACAAGUACCGUUCGAAUAGGGCGGUACCUUGACGGUACCUAACCAGAAAGCCACGGCUAACUACGUGCCAGCAGCCGCGGUAAUACGUAGGUGGCAAGCGUUGUCCGGAAUUAUUGGGCGUAAAGGGCUCGCAGGCGGUUUCUUAAGUCUGAUGUGAAAGCCCCCGGCUCAACCGGGGAGGGUCAUUGGAAACUGGGAGACUUGAGUGCGGAAGAGGAGAGUGGAAUUCCACGUGUAGCGGUGAAAUGCGUAGAGAUGUGGAGGAACACCAGUGGCGAAGGCGACUCUCUGGUCUGUAACUGACGCUGAGGAGCGAAAGCGUGGGGAGCGAACAGGA
This 428-nucleotide unclassified non-coding RNA is filed under the name plant metagenome. Its description in RNAcentral is "partial contains 5.8S ribosomal RNA, internal transcribed spacer 2, and large subunit ribosomal RNA". It matches the Rfam family "Bacterial small subunit ribosomal RNA", at positions 358 to 777 of the family's 1533-position model. The record is from RNAcentral.